Molecule: unclassified non-coding RNA, 253 nt
Filed under: uncultured Halomonadaceae bacterium
Lineage: Bacteria; Pseudomonadati; Pseudomonadota; Gammaproteobacteria; Oceanospirillales; Halomonadaceae
Description: contains 16S-23S intergenic spacer region
Rfam family: Bacterial small subunit ribosomal RNA
Source: RNAcentral
UACGGAAGGGGCAAGCGUUAAUCGGAAGUACUGGGCGUAAAGCGCGCGUAGGUGGCUUGAUAAUCCGGUUGUGAAAGCCCCGGGCUCAACCUGGGAACGGCAUCCGGAACUGUCAAGCUAGAGUGCAGGAGAGGAAGGUAGAAUACCCGGUGUAGCGGUGAAAUGCGUAGAGAUCGGGAGGAAUACCAGUGGCGAAGGCGGCCUUCUUGACUGACACUGACACUGAGGUGCGAAAGCGUGGGUAGCAAACAGG